AGAGUUUGAUCCUGGCUCAGGACGAACGCUGGCGGCGUGCUUAACACAUGCAAGUCGAGCGAGAGCCUGGGGGCUUGCCCCCAGGGGACAGCGGCGAACGGGUGCGUAACACGUGGGCAACCUGCCCCUCUCUCUGGGAUAACCCCGGGAAACCGGAGCUAAUACCGGAUACUCCGGCUGGAUCGCAUGGUCCGGUCGGGAAAGGUCCGCCGGAGAGGGAUGGGCCCGCGGCCUAUCAGCUUGUUGGUAGGGUAACGGCCUACCAAGGCCACGAUCAGUAUCCGGCCUGAGAGGGCGGACGGACACACUGGGACUGAGACACGGCCCAGACUCCUACGGGAGGCAGCAGUGGGGGAUUGUUCGCAAUGGGCGCAAGCCUGACGACGCAACGCCGCGUGGAGGACGAAGAUCUUCGGGUCGUAAACUCCUGUCGAGUGGGAUGAAUGGAUCGGGGAUGAAUAAUCUCCGAUAUUGACGGUACCACUAAAGGAAGCCCCGGCUAACUCCGUGCCAGCAGCCGCGGUAAUACGGGGGGGGCAAGCGUUGUUCGGAAUUACUGGGCGUAAAGGGCUCGUAGGCGGCCAACUAAGUCGGACGUGAAAUCCCCAGGCUCAACCUGGGAACUGCGUCCGAUACUGGAUGGCUUGAAUUCGGGAGAGGGAUGCAGAAUUCCAGGUGUAGCGGUGAAAUGCGUAGAUAUCUGGAGGAAUACCGGUGGCGAAGGCGGCAUCCUGGACCGACAUUGACGCUGAGGAGCGAAAGCUAGGGGAGCAAACGGGAUUAGAUACCCCAGUAGUCC
RNAcentral lists this ribosomal RNA (799 nucleotides) under uncultured Acidobacteriota bacterium. Its description in RNAcentral is "bacterial SSU rRNA". It matches the Rfam family "Bacterial small subunit ribosomal RNA", at positions 8 to 796 of the family's 1533-position model. Lineage: Bacteria; Pseudomonadati; Acidobacteriota. The record is from RNAcentral.